This 253-nucleotide ribosomal RNA is filed under the name uncultured bacterium. RNAcentral describes it as "partial 16S ribosomal RNA". It matches the Rfam family "Bacterial small subunit ribosomal RNA", at positions 524 to 776 of the family's 1533-position model. The record is from RNAcentral.
UACGUAGGGAGCAAGCGUUGUCCGGAAUCAUUGGGCGUAAAGCGCGCGUAGGUGGCCCCAUAAGUCCGCUGUGAAAGUCAAAGGCUCAACCUUUGAAAGCCGGUGGAUACUGUGGGACUAGAGUACGGAAGAGGCGAGUGGAAUUCCUGGUGUAGCGGUGGAAUGCGCAGAUAUCAGGAGGAACACCGGUGGCGAAGGCGGAUCUCUGGGCCAUAACUGACGCUGAGGAGCGAAAGCAUGGGGAGCGAACAGG